Salvelinus sp. IW2-2015 is the source of this 423-nucleotide long non-coding RNA. RefSeq lists it as uncharacterized. Lineage: Eukaryota; Metazoa; Chordata; Actinopteri; Salmoniformes; Salmonidae. The record is from RefSeq and is a predicted model, not a curated record.
CAGGGUGUACAGUAAUCCUGUGUGUGUUGGUUUUCCAGGUGCAGACCCGCAGUGCUGAUGAACCGAUGACCACCUCGUCUUCUGUAAUGACUGUGGAAACAGAUGGAAGUUCUGUUGAGAUCGGGAGGAGGAGACCUUCAGACAGAACCUCUGACCCCUGGUACCAAUCAACCAACCAUACAGACGCACCCACUAUUUCUAUUGGCAGAUAUUGUCCAUAGCCACGCCCCUGUCCCCACCCAUCAGCCAUUCAGAUGAUGAUCAACAUAGUUUCUUCUGUUACCAUCCAACAUUUUAUAUGUAGUUUUAACAUUUAGACAAAACUUGUAUYGACAAUUUACUAUUGAGUUUAGCUUCUUCGACCUUCAUGAAUUUUUAUUUUAUUUAAAUUACCAUUAAAAUUUUAUCCAUUUGUUUAAAAAA